Molecule: unclassified non-coding RNA, 1826 nt
Filed under: Pectinophora gossypiella (pink bollworm)
Lineage: Eukaryota; Metazoa; Arthropoda; Insecta; Lepidoptera; Gelechiidae
Description: regulator of chromosome condensation-like
Source: RNAcentral
CGAAGCGAGCGAGGGAGAUGCACGGGAUUUUGUUGAAUACAACGUCAUCUUCAAUUCUAAAGAGAUUUCUAUAAUUUCCUUCGCAAUUCAGUUAGACCGUCAAUCAGUUAAAUUCUAAAACAGCGUUAUGCCGGCGACCCGGGGCGUAAAGCGGACGGCGUCCAAGAGUUCAGCCUCUGUUGCUUCUACGGGGCCAAAGAACAAGAAGAAACGCAAUGUAACACAACUGGAAGUACCAACGUUGCCGAAGAGACGCGGCCGUGUCUUAACUUGUGGACAGGGAGAUGUUGGACAACUCGGGCUUGGCGAGGAUGUUAUUGAGACCACCAGAUUCAAGCAUGUGACGGGCCUGGGGGAGAAGAUAGUGGACACCUGUGCCGGUGGCAUGCACACCGUUGCGUUGGACAGUGACGGAAAAGUAUGGACGUUCGGGUGCAACGACGAGGGAGCCCUGGGGCGGCCCACGUCCGGGGACUCCGACGAGGGCCGGCCGGGGGCGGUGGCGCUGCCCCGCGCCUGCGUCGCCAUCUCCGCCGGGGACUCGCACUCCGCCGCACUGCUCGACAACGGCGACGUGUACGCGUGGGGCGCCUUCCGGGACUCCCACGGCAGCAUGGGGCUGGUGGUCCGCGGGCGGGAGGGUAAACCGUGCCGGGAGCCCGUGGCGGUCCCGCUGCCCGACCCGGCCGCCGGGAUCGCCUCCGGGGGAGACCACCUUGUUAUACUUACCACUUCAGGGUCGGUAUACACGAUGGGUUGCGGCGAGCAAGGCCAACUUGGAAGGUUGUCGCAGAGGUCUGCCUCCCGGGAUACCCGACAGGGAUUCAGCGCGUUGCUAGUCCCAUCCAAAGUAACCCUAAAAGCGGGCGCGUCUCGCGUAUGGGCGGGCUACCACGCCACCUUCGUGCUAGACGCGAGCCAAGAAAAGAUGUUCGCCUGGGGGCUCAAUAACUACGGACAACUUGGUAUAACAGGCGAGAAGCGCAAGACAGCGCUGUACGCGCCCACCGCGUGCGACGCGUUCCCGGCGGGAGGCGGCUGGCGGCGGGUGGCGGCCGGCCAGCACCACUCGCUGGCGCUGGACGGCGCGGGGCUGGUGCACGCCAUAGGACGCGUGGAGUACGGCAGGCUCGGGCUGGGCGACCGGAGCGGUGACGCGGAGGUGUUGGAGCCGAUCCCCAAGCUGCAGAACAAGAAGUGUGUCAGCAUAGCCGCCGGGACGAGCAACUCGUUCGCUGUCACAGACACCGGGGAAAUCUACGCGUGGGGUAUGGGCAGCGAGGGACAACUGGGCACCGGCGGCAGUGCCGACGCCACGGAACCGACACUGGCUGUGUCCAGCGCCAUGCAAGGACACACCCCCAUACACGUCGCCGCGGGAGGACAACACACCGUGCUGCUUGUGGAGGACCCCAACGCGAAGAGAGAAGCGUCCCCAGCGCCGGAGAAAGAGACAGAAGAAGAGAAGAUAGAGGAGAAGUCCGAGGAGGAGCCAGAACCUGAACCUGAAAAGAAGCCGAAGGGCCGCGGGCACGCGCGCGGCCGCAAGCAGGAGCAGGAGGAGGAGGUGUCGUCGUCCACCAGCAGCGCACAUGCACAAGACGUGGCCGGGGACGCCGCGCCGCAGGCUAGGAAGAGGCGCACGACCCACAAAGCUGCGUCCAGCAAAAAGGCACGCCGGCAUUAGAAGGUGAAUGGGGACGAGAAGAAAGCAACGCCUAUGGAAAUCGAUGAAACUGACAACAAACAAGACAAAGACAAAAAGGAAGACAAAGAUACAGACGCGGACGCCAAAACAGAGUCUUCAAAAGAGGCCUCCAAACCGG